AACGUAGGAGGCAAGCGUUAUCCGGAUUUACUGGGCGUAAAGCGCGUGUAGGCGGUUUGGUAAGUUGGAUGUGAAAGCUCCUGGCUCAACUGGGAGAGGUCGUUCAAUACUGCUAAACUUGAGGAUGGUAGAGGGAGGUGGAAUUCCGGGUGUAGUGGUGAAAUGCGUAGAUAUCCGGAGGAACACCAGUGGCGAAAGCGGCCUCCUGGACCAUUUCUGACGCUCAGACGCGAAAGCUAGGGUAGCAAACGGGAUUAGAGACCCCGGUAGUCCUAGCUGUAAACGAUGUAGACUUGGCGUCGGCGGGUUUAAAUCCGUCGGUGCCGCAGCCAACGCGAUAAGUCUACCGCCUGGGGACUACGGCCGCAAGGUUA
Molecule: ribosomal RNA, 374 nt
Filed under: uncultured prokaryote
Description: bacterial SSU rRNA
Rfam family: Bacterial small subunit ribosomal RNA
Source: RNAcentral